This 337-nucleotide ribosomal RNA is filed under the name uncultured bacterium. Its description in RNAcentral is "bacterial SSU rRNA". It matches the Rfam family "Bacterial small subunit ribosomal RNA", at positions 28 to 365 of the family's 1533-position model. The record is from RNAcentral.
GACGAACGCUGGCGGCGUGCUUAACACAUGCAAGUCGAGCGGUAAGGCCCUUUCGGGGGUACACGAGCGGCGAACGGGUGAGUAACACGUGGGUGACCUGCCCUCAGCUCUGGGAUAAGCCUGGGAAACCGGGUCUAAUACUGGAUAUGACUCCAUGACGCAUGUUGUGGGGUGGAAAGCCUUGUGCGGCUGAGGAUGGGGCCCGCGGCCUAUCAGCUUGUUGGUGGGGUGANGGCCUACCAAGGCGACGACGGGUAGCCGGCCUGAGAGGGCGACCGGCCACACUGGGACUGAGACACGGCCCAGACUCCUACGGGAGGCAGCAGUGGGGAAUCUU